RNAcentral lists this small RNA (97 nucleotides) under Yersinia ruckeri. RNAcentral's name for it is "partial RtT sRNA". It matches the Rfam family "RtT RNA", at positions 1 to 99 of the family's 130-position model. From Rfam's summary of the family: This family represents a bacterial cis-regulatory element known as RtT RNA. The exact function of RtT is unknown although it is thought that it may be involved in changing the cellular response in relation to amino acid starvation. Lineage: Bacteria; Pseudomonadati; Pseudomonadota; Gammaproteobacteria; Enterobacterales; Yersiniaceae. The record is from RNAcentral.
CUAUAACACGAACCGUGUGGGUGAGUAACCUGCGUUCAGGUUCGAGCCGAGCGAAGCGAGACAGCAACGCACAGCGUUGACCCGAAGGGCGAGUCCA